GGGGAUGUAUCUCAGUUGAGGGCUUGCUUUUCAUGCAUAAGGCCAUAGGUUCAAUCCCUAACACCACCA
Molecule: transfer RNA, 69 nt
Filed under: Ictidomys tridecemlineatus (thirteen-lined ground squirrel)
Lineage: Eukaryota; Metazoa; Chordata; Mammalia; Rodentia; Sciuridae
Description: Spermophilus tridecemlineatus (thirteen-lined ground squirrel) tRNA
Rfam family: tRNA
About the family: Transfer RNA (tRNA) molecules are approximately 80 nucleotides in length. Their secondary structure includes four short double-helical elements and three loops (D, anti-codon, and T loops).
Source: Rfam by way of RNAcentral